RNAcentral lists this ribosomal RNA (512 nucleotides) under uncultured Actinomycetes bacterium. Its description in RNAcentral is "bacterial SSU rRNA". It matches the Rfam family "Bacterial small subunit ribosomal RNA", at positions 370 to 896 of the family's 1533-position model. Lineage: Bacteria; Bacillati; Actinomycetota; Actinomycetes. The record is from RNAcentral.
AAUGGGCGAAAGCCUGACGCAGCAACGCCGCGUGGGGGAUGAAGGCCUUCGGGUUGUAAACCCUUUCAGGAGGGAAGAAAUUGACGGUACCUCCAAAAGAAGGACCGGCCAACUACGUGCCAGCAGCCGCGGUAAUACGUAGGGUCCGAGCGUUAUCCGGAAUCAUUGGGCGUAAAGAGCUCGUAGGCGGUUCAGCAAGUCGGCUGUGAAAGUCCGAGGCUCAACCUCGGAAUUGCAGUCGAUACUGCUGUGACUCGAGUCCGGUAGAGGAGAAUGGAAUUCUCGGUGUAGCGGUGAAAUGCGCAGAUAUCGAGAGGAACACCAGUAGCGAAGGCGGUUCUCUGGGCCGGCACUGACGCUGAGGAGCGAAAGCGUGGGGAGCAAACAGGAUUAGAUACCCUGGUAGUCCACGCCGUAAACGUUGGAUACUAGGUGUGGCGGUUAUACCAAUGACUGCCGUGCCGAAGCUAACGCAUUAAGUAUCCCGCCUGGGGAGUACGGCCGCAAGGCUA